RNAcentral lists this ribosomal RNA (468 nucleotides) under uncultured bacterium. RNAcentral describes it as "partial 16S ribosomal RNA". It matches the Rfam family "Bacterial small subunit ribosomal RNA", at positions 28 to 507 of the family's 1533-position model. The record is from RNAcentral.
GACGAACGCUGGCGGCGUGCUUAACACAUGCAAGUCGAACGGAAAGGCCCUGCUUUUGUGGGGUGCUCGAGUGGCGAACGGGUGAGUAACACGUGAGUAACCUUCCCUUGACUUUGGGAUAACUUCAGGAAACUGGGGCUAAUACCGGAUAGGAGCUCCUGCUGCAUGGUGGGGGUUGGAAAGUUUCGGCGGUUGGGGAUGGACUCGCGGCUUAUCAGCUUGUUGGUGGGGUAGUGGCUUACCAAGGCUUUGACGGGUAGCCGGCCUGAGAGGGUGACCGGCCACAUUGGGACUGAGAUACGGCCCAGACUCCUAAGGGAGGCAGCAGUGGGGAAUAUUGCACUAUGGGCGGAAGCCUGAUGCAGCAACGCCGCGUGCGAGAUGACGGCCUUCGGGUUGUAAACCGCUUUCGCCUGUGACGAAGCGUGAGUGACGGUAAUGGGUAAAGAAGCACCGGCUAACUACGUG